CCGUGAGGGCAAGCCAACCACAGAAAAGCCAUCUCAGUUCGGAUUGUAGUCUGCAACCCGACUACAUGAAGCUGGAAUCGCUAGUAAUCGCAGAUCAGAAUGCUGCGGUGAAUACGUUCCCGGGUCUUGUACACACCGCCCGUCACACCAUGGGAGUUGGAAAUGCCCGAAGCCAGUGACCCAACCGUAAGGAGGGAGCUGUCGAAGGUGGAGCCGAUGACUGGGGUGAAGUCGUAACAAGGUAGC
This 246-nucleotide ribosomal RNA is filed under the name uncultured bacterium. RNAcentral's name for it is "partial 16S ribosomal RNA". It matches the Rfam family "Bacterial small subunit ribosomal RNA", at positions 1255 to 1500 of the family's 1533-position model. The record is from RNAcentral.